GGCAACGAAUUCCAGAGAUUUACUGUGC
RNAcentral lists this small RNA (28 nucleotides) under Bombyx mori (domestic silkworm). RNAcentral's name for it is "ovarian small RNA-17360". Lineage: Eukaryota; Metazoa; Arthropoda; Insecta; Lepidoptera; Bombycidae. The record is from RNAcentral.